Long non-coding RNA from Folsomia candida, 646 nucleotides. RefSeq lists it as uncharacterized. The record is from RefSeq and is a predicted model, not a curated record. The transcript has 3 exons. NCBI's taxonomy places the organism in Eukaryota, Metazoa, Arthropoda, Collembola, Entomobryomorpha, Isotomidae.
GCAUUCAAUCAGUAGCUAUUGACUGCUGAUCAUUGGCUCCAAGGGCUCGUGUCCUUUCUCCGCAGGUUUCCUUCCCGACAGUCGUGCCUUGUUGUUGGGAUCAUCUUUAUGUACAUAAAUCGGGAAGAAAAGUUUUGUUGAAGAAAGUCAUUCACUCAUAAAGAAGAGAGUAAAGAAAUGUAAAUCGAAAGUGACAUUUUAUAAAUUGAUCCAAGAUUUGGCAUUCUUUCUUUUGUAGCAGUUUGAUUUGAUGAUCAUCACUUUCAAUUAGUUUAACAAGUGUUGUGAGAUUGUGGGUGGGUUUAUUAUUAGUCCUUGCAAGUGAGCACACGCACAUAUAAAUACAUAUAGGCAUUGAGCAACUUUACAAGUUGCUUGAACAGGAUUUCGUCUUAUCCAGCACGGUAGCUGCUGGUUAUUAUUGCUUCAAUUGCCCCAUUCGACCUAAAGUUGAUAACUCUGAGCUAAUUAGUUCCUUUUCAGCGGAACGUCUUGAGAAUGGGACGAAAUAAAGUUGUGGACAGAAAUAGGAGUAGUUUGUUUUUAAAUUUACGAGUUUUUGGUUUGGGGUUGGAGAUUCGAUAAAGCAAUUAUAAUUAGGACGCGGCCCACCCCGUUUGCCAUCCAAUUGUGGAGAAAUGAUUUA